CCUACGGGUGGCAGCAGUGAGGAAUAUUGGUCAAUGGACGAGAGUCUGAACCAGCCAAGUAGCGUGAAGGAUGACUGCCCUACGGGUUGUAAACUUCUUUUAUAUGGGAAUAAAAUGUUCCACGUGUGGGAUUUUGUAUGUACCAUAUGAAUAAGGAUCGGCUAACUCCGUGCCAGCAGCCGCGGUAAUACGGAGGAUCCGAGCGUUAUCCGGAUUUAUUGGGUUUAAAGGGAGCUUAGGUGGAUUGUUAAGUCAGUUGUGAAAGUUUGCGGCUCAACCGUAAAAUUGCAGUUGAAACUGGCAGUCUUGAGUACAGUAGAGGUGGGCGGAAUUCGUGGUGUAGCGGUGAAAUGCUUAGAUAUCACGAAGAACUCCGAUUGCGAAGGCAGUUCACUGGACUGCAACUGACACUGAGGCUCGAAAGUGUGGGUAUCAAACAGGAUUAGAUACCCCAGUAGUC
Molecule: ribosomal RNA, 460 nt
Filed under: uncultured bacterium
Lineage: Bacteria
Description: partial 16S ribosomal RNA
Rfam family: Bacterial small subunit ribosomal RNA
Source: RNAcentral